This 253-nucleotide ribosomal RNA is filed under the name uncultured bacterium. Its description in RNAcentral is "partial 16S ribosomal RNA". It matches the Rfam family "Bacterial small subunit ribosomal RNA", at positions 524 to 776 of the family's 1533-position model. The record is from RNAcentral.
UACGGAGGGUGCAAGCGUUAAUCGGAUUUAUUGGGCGUAAAGGGCGCGUAGGUGGUGACCUAAGCGUGCGGUGAAAGCCCGAGGCUCAACCUCGGGUCGGCCGUGCGAACUGGGUCACUGGAGCAGAAUAGAGGCAGGUGGAAUUCCGGGUGUAGCGGUGGAAUGCGUAGAGAUCCGGAAGAACACCGGUGGCGAAGGCGGCCUGCUGGGUUCUGGCUGACACUGAGGCGCGACAGCGUGGGGAGCAAACAGG